Molecule: long non-coding RNA, 719 nt
Filed under: Zea mays
Lineage: Eukaryota; Viridiplantae; Streptophyta; Magnoliopsida; Poales; Poaceae
Description: drought responsive lncRNA
Source: RNAcentral
CAUUUGAGUUUAAAAGAACAGAAAAGCUCGGAUCAUUAAACUAACGAGCUAGCUCGGCUCAUCUUAUUUAUCAGCCCAAGUUGGUUUGUUCAGCUCCUGGGCUCAAAUAGACAUUGACAAAAAAAUCCGAAAGAAAUAUCGGCGGUAGACUAUAUAGCUCCUAAUCUAACCCUAGUCAAGAAAAAUAAUUAAGGCCCUGUUUGGGACAGCUCCAGCUCCACAAAAUUUGGUGGAGCAGGUCAUUAGGUGCUCCAAAAAAUCGUGAAACUGGAGCCAUAAGCUUUUAAAAGACAUUUAGAUAAGUCAUUUUGUUUAUUAUUUCGAUUGAAAAUAUUUUUAAAACUAUUAAAAUUGAUAUUAUAAACUACAGCUCCACACUGGAGCUGGAAUCUGGAGCCAUCCCAAACACUCCCUAAAAUCCAAUUGCCCAGACAUACCAUAAACCACUGGAAUUGUUGAAUCAUAACAUAAAUCAAAUAGAAAAAUUGAAUCGACUUCUACGCAUGGCGAGGUCAUGCCACCUCCUAUGCGCCCAAGAUAAUGCUGCUAGUCUUUUGAGCGACAUCCUUGGAUCCAUGCUCGACAGUCCUAGGCUUAGUAACUAGGUUCCCAGAUCGAUGGGAUCGAGGAACGGGAACGUGGUACACGGUACACUACUAAAAUUAGGUUUUAACACUACGGGAACGGGAUUGUUCCCACGUUCCCGGAACGAACGUUCC